Cinara cedri is the source of this 247-nucleotide non-coding RNA. The record is from the annotation of a GenBank genome assembly. NCBI's taxonomy places the organism in Eukaryota, Metazoa, Arthropoda, Insecta, Hemiptera, Aphididae.
UACAUUGCUCUGUUAUCAAACCACUGUUAUUUUAGCUGCUUCUAAGUAAGUAUAUACAAAAUUAACAGGUACCUACAUAUUAUAAUAUAAUAAUAUGAAAAUUUGAAGUUUCACAACUGUAUGUUAAUAGGUAUAUACACAUCUAGACAUUCACCAAAUCCUUUCAUAAAAAAAUGUGAACAUAAGUUAACUGCGUUGCACAAUAAUAUCUCUAAUUAUUCAAUUUAUUUAUGUGUUUAAUGUUCAU